CCCCACUCCCCUCAUUGAAACACCUUUAAAAGAUAUUUUUGAGUAACAGCAUAGCCAGUGUACAGUGACCUUUUCCUGAGGCAGUGUGACCUGUGACGCCGUAACAGGCAGAAGGCUCCAGCAGAGGAGAAUUCAGCUGUUCCCUAUCAAGUCUGGCGCUGAAGAGAUCUGAAGAGAUUCGAAGAGGUGUAAAGUGAUACCACCAGGUAAGCCACAGCUGCAUGUGUCCAUGAUUGCAUGCCAUGUCCAGAAGACGGUGUUUCAUGUCGAACCUCCCCACCCUACCAUCAACCCUACGUCUUACGAAGUAAAUCAGCUGUCCCCGUACAGCUCUUUCCCAUGCCUCCAUGUCUCCAUGGCUGUACCCGUGUUCCUGGU
Long non-coding RNA from Phodopus roborovskii (desert hamster), 378 nucleotides. RefSeq lists it as uncharacterized. The record is from RefSeq and is a predicted model, not a curated record. The transcript has 3 exons. Lineage: Eukaryota; Metazoa; Chordata; Mammalia; Rodentia; Cricetidae.